AUUAGAAAAAAUAUACCCUUUUCAUAUAAAAAAAUACGAUUUCCAUUUUUCAAUUAUUUCCUAUAUAUAUAUAUACUGUGUGCAUCAAUAAAGAUUUUUAUUUUCUCCUCCAAAUUUUACACAUUCAAAGCCUUCUAGUUAAGAUUCGUCGUGCACAAGAGGAUCGUCGUCGAUUCUGCAAGUUACCGUCACCGAUUCGUGCAUUUCGAAGCCCUCGAUUCAUCUGGUCGCCAUCGCCGAUGCCGAUUCGUGCAUCUGCAAGUCGUCGUCACCGAUUCGUGCAUUUCGAAGCCCUUCUGGUCGCCGUCGAUUUUAUGUGUUUCGAAGCCCUCGAUUAAUCUGGUCGCCGUCGCCGAUUCGUGCAUCUGCAAGUCGUCGUCACCGAUUCGUGCAUUUCGAAGCCCUUCUGGUCGCCGUCGAUUUUAUCUUUAUUGGAGAUAUUGCCACGGGUAGACUCUCUGGAAAUACAAUCAUGAUUGGGAAGGUUCUUCUUAAUGAAAGAAAGAGGAGACUAGACUAUGGUGCUGUGGUGGGCUCCAGGUCCGGCCCAAUUAUUCACUAACGGGCUUUGCAUUGUUUGAAAGCGGGAGCCCAGGCGUGGGUGCAGGUAGACGUAGAACUGUAGAAGCUCUUCGGCCUACGGUAUAUGACAUCACGCAAUGAGCUCAAGGAAAGGAAAUGCUGCAAUGAGAGGUGCGGCAGACAAAUGGAGUUCUAACGAUGGUAAAAAGAAGCUACAAGAAUAGCAAUGCAUGAUUACUUAGAACCAGAAAGCCAUGACAUGAAUUCUGCCGAGUUGACUGAACAAUGCAUAUUAUAAUUAUAACCUUCCAAAAAUAGUAGCAUAGCAUCUACUAGAUUUCUUUUGUGAGUUUUUAAAAUUCUUUUAUUUCAUAUAGUAGGGAUUUUUGUUCUUAAUUAUGAAAAUAAAAAUAAAUAAAUAAAUAAAACUUGUGUCAUUGCAGGUGAA
Molecule: long non-coding RNA, 970 nt
Organism: Malania oleifera
Lineage: Eukaryota; Viridiplantae; Streptophyta; Magnoliopsida; Santalales; Ximeniaceae
Exons: 4
Source: RefSeq, a predicted model, not a curated record